This is a non-coding RNA of Arachis ipaensis, 451 nucleotides long. The record is from RefSeq and is a predicted model, not a curated record. NCBI's taxonomy places the organism in Eukaryota, Viridiplantae, Streptophyta, Magnoliopsida, Fabales, Fabaceae.
UAAAAAUCAAUCAUUUCAGUGCCAUUUAUAUGUGGAAUGAAUGGAUAAAUUUUGUACAAAUCAUUUCUUUAAUUUUUCCAGGUGAAGGGGUUUGAACAAUCAUUAGCAUAUUAUGUUUCACAUCUUGAGAUUAGGUGCAAAGCAAUUUGACUGUACAUGAGAUUAUCAGUUCCAUUAAGCUAGGAUUUCUGGGAAGAAAGAAAAGAAAACCUAGAGACAUCACAAGCUAAUCAGAUCCAUUUUGUUACUAAGCUGAUAUCAGCAGUUAUUCCAUGUUAAGGCGACAAAGAUAUAGGAAACUUUUGGGAAUUUCAAGGCCACUUUAGCAAGUUGCUUUAUUCUCUAUGGAUGUAAAAAUGGCAAAGAUUAACAUAAUAAAAGUAUAUAACUGCCCAAAAUUAUCAAAGCACAAAUGAGAUGCAAAAAUAAAGAAAGUUUUAAUUACCUGUUU